UGUGGCUUCCGUGAGGGAGCGGCGGGGCGGGACCGGGAAAAGGAACGGGAAAAGGACCGGGAAAAGGAAAAGGAGCGGGAUAAAGAACGGGAACGGAAAAAGGAACCGGAUAAAGAACGGGAAAAGGAACGGGAAAAGGAACGGGACCGGGAAAAGGAACGGGAACAGCACCGGGAACAGCUCCGGCAAUGCGGCUGCGUCCCUGGAGCGCCGGGCCUCGCCUGCCCACAGCACGGCCGCCCCUGGCCUUUCCCCCGUUAAUUAAUUAAUAACUAUUAUAAUUAUUAAUUAGUAUAAGCUUUAAACUACCUUGUUGUAUAAGUUUCAAGCUAUCCGUUGCACAAGCUAUAAAUUGGUUUGUUGUGUAUGGAAGAAUUUGUAAUCACUUAAAAAGGGGAAGUAGGAAAAACGUGAGCUGAAAGGCUCUGCAAACACAUUUUUAAAUUGUUUUAAUGCAUUUAAUGUGUUUAAUGUGUUUUAAUGCUAACUUUGAGUUUUGUAAUAAUUGAGGAAGAGGCCCUAUGAAGAUGUUUUUAGACAGCUUUAGGUUGUGAAAUGAUUGAAAGAAGCCUUGCAGAAUGUGUGCUAACAGAAUAAAUGCUUGUUAAAAACUGUAACCAAAAAUAAUGCUAUAUUUAUAUUUUUAUUGUUAUUUUUACUAUAUUUUUUAUACUAUAUUAUCUCUAUAUUUAGAGAUAUUUUAAAAGAAGGAUGGGAAGCUGGAGAGGCAUCAGGAGAUCAUCUCAGACCACGUCCCCAAGGGAGCUCCAAAAUCCACAACUGCUGAUUAAGAUCUCCAAAAACCACAACUGCUGAUUAAGAUCUCCAAAAGCCACAACUGCUGAUUAAGAUCUCCAAAAGCCACAACUGCUGAUUAAGAUCUCCAAAAGCCACAACUGCUGAUCACCAAAAUCCACGACUGCUGAUUAUGAAGAAAAGCAAAUAGAAAAUAACUGAAAAUUUGAGGAAGUGCCUAGGAUGGUGGAUUGUUCCUGUACUCCCGGGGGAUUUGAGAUCUCCAUCCCUCCAUCCCAGGGAUGCCCGGCUCUCCUGUGGAGUUUCAGAGGAGCUGCAGCGCCUCCCUGGGAGCAUCUCCGGCUCCAGCCCCUGAUCAGGAUCCACCCUGCGGUUUUCAUCCCCGUUCCUUCCACUGCUCUGAUUUGUCUCUUGGAGUCUUGGUCCUCGGAAAGCUUUUGCCGAUCCCGCGGUGACACCGGCAGAGGCCACCUUUCCUCCCCGUGUCACAUCUGCAGUGACAGCCGGGGAAGCGAUGGGGAGAGGAGGUGAACUCCGCGGAACUGGGGAAAGUGAGGCACGAGUGGGGGCUGUUCCUGUGGCACUUUGGGAGGGAGCUCCGCCGUGUCCUUGGAUCCCAGAGCUCAGGGGAUGCACCUGGAGGGGCCAGGAUCCAGCUCAAAGAUGAAGAUAGCAGUGCCCAGAACGCUGGGGGAGGAAUUUAUUGCAUUUCUGGUAUCAGAGAACAUAAAUCUCGAUGGUGCCAAGAGGAUUGAUCUAUUGGGAAGGGGACAGGAGAAAACUGAACAGAAGAACCCCAAAGAUCCUGAGAAGAAUGUCUGAAUAUGUGUGAGAAUUUAUGGAUAUGUGUGAGAAUUUAUGGAUAAGUGUGAGAAUUUCUGGAUAUGGAGCAGGGUUCUGUUUUUAAGGGACAAUCCUUUAGUGAGGUGAAUGCAGA
Molecule: non-coding RNA, 1693 nt
Organism: Cyanistes caeruleus (blue tit)
Lineage: Eukaryota; Metazoa; Chordata; Aves; Passeriformes; Paridae
Source: RefSeq, a predicted model, not a curated record